AGAUUGAACGCUGGCGGCAUGCCUUACACAUGCAAGUCGAACGGCAGCACGGACUUCGGUCUGGUGGCGAGUGGCGAACGGGUGAGUAAUAUAUCGGAACGUACCCUGGAGUGGGGGAUAACGCAGCGAAAGUUGCGCUAAUACCGCAUACCGAUCGUACGGAUGAAAGGUGGGGCUCGCAAGACCUCAUGCUCGUGGAGCGG
RNAcentral lists this ribosomal RNA (203 nucleotides) under uncultured soil bacterium. Its description in RNAcentral is "partial 16S ribosomal RNA". It matches the Rfam family "Bacterial small subunit ribosomal RNA", at positions 26 to 229 of the family's 1533-position model. The record is from RNAcentral.